Molecule: unclassified non-coding RNA, 301 nt
Filed under: uncultured Dothideomycetes
Lineage: Eukaryota; Fungi; Ascomycota; Dothideomycetes
Description: sequence contains ITS1
Rfam family: 5.8S ribosomal RNA (bases 1-105)
Source: RNAcentral
GAAAUGCGAUAAGUAGUGUGAAUUGCAGAAUUCAGUGAAUCAUCGAAUCUUUGAAUGUAUAUUGCGCCCUUUGGUAUUCCUUAGGGCAUGCCUGUUCGAGCGUCAUCUAAACCUUCAAGCACUGCUUGGUGUUGGGUGCCUGUCCUGCCCCCGCGCGUGGACUCACCUUAAAUCUAUUGGCGGCCCUUACGUCGGCUUCGAGCGCAGCAGAAACGCGAACUCGACGCCUGUUGGAGCGGCUCCCAGAAGCUACAUUUACCAUUUUGACCUCGGAUCAGGUAGGGAUACCCGCUGAACUUAA